GACGAACGCUGGCGGCGUGCUUAACACAUGCAAGUCGAACGGAAAGGCCCUGCUUUUGUGGGGUGCUAGAGUGGCGAACGGGUGAGUAACACGUGAGUAACCUGCCCUUGACUUUGGGAUAACUUCAGGAAACUGGGGCUAAUACCGGAUAGGAGCUCCUGCUGCAGGGUGGGGGUUGGAAAGUUUCGGAGGUUGGGGAUGGACUCGCGGCUUAUCAGCUUGUUGGUGGGGUAGUGGCUUACCAAGGCUUUGACGGGUAGCCGGCCUGAGAGGGUGACCGGCCACAAUGGUACUGAGAUACGGCCCAGACUCCUACGGGAGGCAGCAGUGGGGAAUAUUGUACAAUGGUCGGAAGCCUGAUGCAGCAACGCCGCGUGCGGGAUGACGGCCUUCGUGUUGUAAACCGCUUUCGCCUGUGACGAAGCGUGAGUGACGGUAAUGGGUAAAGAAGCACCGGCUAACUACGUG
This 468-nucleotide ribosomal RNA is filed under the name uncultured bacterium. RNAcentral's name for it is "partial 16S ribosomal RNA". It matches the Rfam family "Bacterial small subunit ribosomal RNA", at positions 28 to 507 of the family's 1533-position model. The record is from RNAcentral.